RNAcentral lists this ribosomal RNA (119 nucleotides) under Pteropus alecto (black flying fox). The record is from RNAcentral. Lineage: Eukaryota; Metazoa; Chordata; Mammalia; Chiroptera; Pteropodidae.
GUUUACAGCCAUACCACCCUGAACAAGCCCGAUCCCGUCUGAUCUCAGAAGCUAAGCAGGGUAGGGCCUGUUUAGUACUUAGAUGGGAGACCACGUAGGAAGACCAAGUGCUGUAGGCA